RNAcentral lists this ribosomal RNA (1099 nucleotides) under Salmonella enterica. RNAcentral's name for it is "partial 23S ribosomal RNA". It matches the Rfam family "Bacterial large subunit ribosomal RNA", at positions 600 to 1616 of the family's 2925-position model. The record is from RNAcentral. Lineage: Bacteria; Pseudomonadati; Pseudomonadota; Gammaproteobacteria; Enterobacterales; Enterobacteriaceae. RNAcentral also lists the same sequence under 1 other name.
CGUACCUUUUGUAUAAUGGGUCAGCGACUUAUAUUCUGUAGCAAGGUUAACCGUAUAGGGGAGCCGGAGGGAAACCGAGUCUUAAUUGGGCGUUAAGUUGCAGGGUAUAGACCCGAAACCCGGUGAUCUAGCCAUGGGCAGGUUGAAGGUUGGGUAACACUAACUGGAGGACCGAACCGACUAAUGUUGAAAAAUUAGCGGAUGACCUGUGGCUGGGGGUGAAAGGCCAAUCAAACCGGGAGAUAGCUGGUUCUCCCCGAAAGCUAUUUAGGUAGCGCCUCGUGAAUUCAUCUCCGGGGGUAGAGCACUGUUUCGGCUAGGGGGCCAUCCCGGCUUACCAACCCGAUGCAAACUGCGAAUACCGGAGAAUGUUAUCACGGGAGACACACGGCGGGUGCUAACGUCCGUCGUGAAGAGGGAAACAACCCAGACCGCCAGCUAAGGUCCCAAAGUCAUGGUUAAGUGGGAAACGAUGUGGGAAGGCCCAGACAGCCAGGAUGUUGGCUUAGAAGCAGCCAUCAUUUAAAGAAAGCGUAAUAGCUCACUGGUCGAGUCGGCCUGCGCGGAAGAUGUAACGGGGCUAAACCAUGCACCGAAGCUGCGGCAGCGAACGUAUCACCCAAGACAACUUUACGGAGUUGACGAUUGACGGAGCGAAGCGACGUCAAAGCGUUCAUUAAAGUCGAGUUGGCUUAGGGAUACGUUCGUUGGGUAGGGGAGCGUUCUGUAAGCCUGUGAAGGUGUGUCGUGAGGCAUGCUGGAGGUAUCAGAAGUGCGAAUGCUGACAUAAGUAACGAUAAAGCGGGUGAAAAGCCCGCUCGCCGGAAGACCAAGGGUUCCUGUCCAACGUUAAUCGGGGCAGGGUGAGUCGACCCCUAAGGCGAGGCCGAAAGGCGUAGUCGAUGGGAAACGGGUUAAUAUUCCCGUACUUGGUGUUACUGCGAAGGGGGGACGGAGAAGGCUAUGUUGGCCGGGCGACGGUUGUCCCGGUUUAAGCGUGUAGGUGUGUGUUCCAGGUAAAUCCGGUUCACUUUAACACUGAGGCGUGACGACGAGGCACUACGGUGCUGAAGCAACAAAUGCCCUGCUUCCAGGAAAA